ACAAAUACUCUGAUUAUGAAAUGACAAUGAUCCCACCUCAAACACUGUCAGUGAUUUCUAUACACAACAGAGUGACCUAGUACUGGACACCUGGCAAACUGACCCCAAGCUAAGGAAGAACGGUUAUGGAGCAGGUUUUGGUUUGAAGACGAAUAUGAAAUGAAGAUUCAAUUAUUGCCCAUCCCCUUAAAAAUAGAAAAAGAUAAGCAGUUUGUGU
Molecule: long non-coding RNA, 217 nt
Organism: Spea bombifrons (plains spadefoot toad)
Lineage: Eukaryota; Metazoa; Chordata; Amphibia; Anura; Pelobatidae
Exons: 3
Source: RefSeq, a predicted model, not a curated record